ACACACGCAUCCGCCCGGGUACUACGAGCACAGCUUAAAACCCAAAGGACUUGGCGGUGUCUCAGACCCACCUAGAGGAGCCUGUUCUAGAACCGAUAACCCCCGUUAAACCUCACCACUCCUUGUUUUCCCCGCCUAUAUACCGCCGUCGUCAGCUUACCCUGUGAAGGUCUAAUAGUAAGCAAAAUGGGCCCGCCCAAAAACGUCAGGUCGAGGUGUAGCGUACGAAGUGGAAAGAAAUGGGCUACAUUUUCUAUAUACAGAAUAUUACGAACGGUGCAUUGAAAUCAUGCACCAGAAGGUGGAUUUAGUAGUAAAAAGCAAACAGAGUGUCCCUUUGAACUAGGCUCUGAGACGCGCACACACCGCCCGUCACUCUCCCCAACACCCCACUCAAACGAUAUAUAAUAAAUCAACUGUAAACACGGGGAGGCAAGUCGUAACAUGGUAAGUGUACCGGAAGGUGCACUUGGAAUAAU
Molecule: ribosomal RNA, 479 nt
Filed under: Mystus micracanthus (twospot catfish)
Lineage: Eukaryota; Metazoa; Chordata; Actinopteri; Siluriformes; Bagridae
Description: partial 12S ribosomal RNA
Rfam family: Bacterial small subunit ribosomal RNA
Source: RNAcentral